AGUGAACGCUGGCGGCGUGCUUAACACAUGCAAGUCGAACGAGAACGGAUUAUAGCUUGCUAUAAUUGUCAGCUAAGUGGCGCACGGGUGAGUAAUGUAUAGGUAAUAUGCCUCUUACUAAAGGAUAACAAAUGGAAACGUUUGCUAAUACCUUAUACUCCUUAUUAACAUAAGUUAAUAAGGGAAAGAUUUAUUGGUAAGAGAUUAGCCUGUAUUGUAUCAGUUAGUUGGUGGGGUAAUGGCUUACCAAGACUAUGACACAUAACUGGUUUGAGAGGGUGAUCAGUAACACUGGAACUGAGACACGGUCCAGACUCCUACGGGAGGCAGCAGUGGGGAAUAUUGCACAAUGGACGAAAGUCUGAUGCAGCAACGCCGCGUGGAGGAUGACACAUUUCGGUGCGUAAACUCCUUUUAUAUGAGAAGAUAAUGACGGUAUUAUAUGAAUAAGCACCGGCUAACUCCGUGCCAGCCGCCGCCGUAA
This 484-nucleotide ribosomal RNA is filed under the name uncultured bacterium. RNAcentral's name for it is "partial 16S ribosomal RNA". It matches the Rfam family "Bacterial small subunit ribosomal RNA", at positions 29 to 523 of the family's 1533-position model. The record is from RNAcentral.